UACAGAGGGUGCGAGCGUUGUUCGGAUUCAUUGGGCGUAAAGGGUGCGUAGGCGGCGCGGUAAGUCGGGUGUGAAAUCUCGGAGCUUAACUCCGAAACUGCAUUCGAUACUGCCGUGCUUGAGGACUGGAGAGGAGACUGGAAUUUACGGUGUAGCGGUGAAAUGCGUAGAUAUCGUAAGGAAGACCAGUGGCGAAGGCGGGUCUCUGGACAGUUCCUGACGCUGAGGCACGAAGGCCAGGGGAGCAAACGGG
RNAcentral lists this ribosomal RNA (253 nucleotides) under uncultured bacterium. RNAcentral describes it as "partial 16S ribosomal RNA". It matches the Rfam family "Bacterial small subunit ribosomal RNA", at positions 524 to 776 of the family's 1533-position model. The record is from RNAcentral.